Molecule: non-coding RNA, 225 nt
Organism: Paramuricea clavata
Lineage: Eukaryota; Metazoa; Cnidaria; Anthozoa; Malacalcyonacea; Plexauridae
Source: the annotation of a GenBank genome assembly
GCCUAACAUAAGUAAAACGACUUCGCAUUUUACUUUGAAUCUCCAAUUCAAGUAUUAUUCAACCAAAAACUGUGAUUUUAAACUAUAUUUUGCAGUUUUUGCUGAGCACUUCCGGUAUUUUGACCUUUAACCCCGCAAAUUUUUAUCAAGACUAAAAAUAUCGCAAAUAUCCUAAAAAAUCCUAAAAUAUCCCUGUGUUUUUACGUGAGAGAGCCUGGAUCUAGU